RNAcentral lists this ribosomal RNA (285 nucleotides) under uncultured Lachnospiraceae bacterium. Its description in RNAcentral is "partial 16S ribosomal RNA". The stretch from base 46 to 285 matches the Rfam family "Bacterial small subunit ribosomal RNA", at positions 100 to 339 of the family's 1533-position model. Lineage: Bacteria; Bacillati; Bacillota; Clostridia; Lachnospirales; Lachnospiraceae. The record is from RNAcentral.
UUUAUUUGAUUUCCUUCGGGACUGAUUAUUUUGUGACUGAGUGGCGGACGGGUGAGUAACGCGUGGGUAACCUGCCUUGUACAGGGGGAUAACAGUUGGAAACGGCUGCUAAUACCGCAUAAGCGCACAGAGCUGCAUGGCUCGGUGUGAAAAAACUCCGGUGGUAUGGGAUGGGCCCGCGUCUGAUUAGGCAGUUGGCGGGGUAACGGCCCACCAAACCGACGAUCAGUAGCCGGCCUGAGAGGGCGACCGGCCACAUUGGGACUGAGACACGGCCCAAACUCC